Molecule: transfer RNA, 83 nt
Filed under: Chloroflexota bacterium
Lineage: Bacteria; Bacillati; Chloroflexota
Description: Chloroflexi bacterium (groundwater metagenome) tRNA-Tyr
Rfam family: tRNA
About the family: Transfer RNA (tRNA) molecules are approximately 80 nucleotides in length. Their secondary structure includes four short double-helical elements and three loops (D, anti-codon, and T loops).
Source: RNAcentral
ACGGGUGGGUGAGUGGCUAAUACCAACGGUCUGUAAAACCGUCGCUCGGAAGGGCUACGCAGGUUCGAAUCCUGCCCCGUCCA